Molecule: long non-coding RNA, 259 nt
Filed under: Polistes fuscatus (common paper wasp)
Lineage: Eukaryota; Metazoa; Arthropoda; Insecta; Hymenoptera; Vespidae
Description: uncharacterized LOC122525512
Source: RNAcentral
CUUACAGUCGAGCCAAGUAGAAUAAAUUCCUCUGCAUUUUGAACAACUACAAGCAUACAGUGACCACCUGAUAUUAAAAGAACAAGAUCUCAAUGCAUUCUCGCAUACCUCUGUGAUAUGUUGCCUAUGCAUUUCCCGAGCAAUUGGAGGUAUUAUACCUCCAUACCUACAAGUACAUUGUCUAAAUGAAUGCAACUGUUUUUAAACUAACAAUCAUUAUAUUGUUAACAUGUUUAAAUUACUUCAAGUGUAAUAAAUA